This 496-nucleotide ribosomal RNA is filed under the name uncultured bacterium. Its description in RNAcentral is "partial 16S ribosomal RNA". It matches the Rfam family "Bacterial small subunit ribosomal RNA", at positions 28 to 507 of the family's 1533-position model. The record is from RNAcentral.
GAUGAACGCUGGCGGCGUGCCUAAUACAUGCAAGUCGAGCGAACGGACGAGAAGCUUGCUUCUCUGAUGUUAGCGGCGGACGGGUGAGUAACACGUGGAUAACCUACCUAUAAGACUGUGAUAACUUCGGGAAACCGGAGCUAAUACCGGAUAAUAUUUUGAACCGCAUGGUUCAAAAGUGAAAGACGGUCUUGCUGUCACUUAUAGAUGGAUCCGCGCUGCAUAGCUAGUUGGUAAGGUAACGGCUUACCAAGGCAACGAUGCAUAGCCGACCUGAGAGGGUGAUCGGCCACACUGGAACUGAGACACGGUCCAGACUCCUACGGGAGGCAGCAGUAGGGAAUCUUCCGCAAUGGGCGAAAGCCUGACGGAGCAACGCCGCGUGAGUGAUGAAGGUCUUCGGAUCGUAAAACUCUGUUAUUAGGGAAGAACAUAUGUGUAAGUAACUGUGCACAUCUUGACGGUACCUAAUCAGAAAGCCACGGCUAACUACGUG